GGUAAGAAAAUUUUGUUUGCAAAUCUAUGAAAUAAAUUCACAUUUAUGUAUCCUAUUAUAAAAAUGAUGAAGACAAAAUAAUAUUUGGGGAUUCAGACUCUGUUUAAGAUACUUAGUGUGCCAUAGUAGUUAAUAAAUAUAAAGAACUUGAAUGAUAGAAAGAAUAGAAAAAGAAGUUGAUGGUCUUCUGUUUAAUAAUCCUAAACAAUUGAAAUCAGCACUAUGAAAUGGUGCAAACAGACAUAAUUCAGGAUUGAAAUUCAAACUGACAGCUAUGGUAAUUCUAGGACAGUGGGGGAAACACGUAUUGAAGCUUGGUGAGAGAUUUUUGCAGUCUAGGUCUGAGACAAAGGGGAAAAUGAGAUGAAAAUUUCCAUUGCAUCACGUCAACCCUUUGUUAAUUAUGAACAUUGGGUGAAUAUGUGAAUUUUUAACUAUAAAAACAUGUCUUUUGGGGAAUAUAGCACUUUGCACCAGUUUUCACAUAAAACACAAGGUUUUUUUGAAUCAUAGUUGCACAUUCUCAAAGCUAAAUAUCAUAGAUUAAAAGUUAAAAUGUAACUUACAUAUUUAAGUAAAGCAUCUCAAUUUUUAAAAAGACAUUUAACAUUCCAUUAGGAGAGACUGGAUUUCCAAAAUACAUUUUCAAUUAUAUUAGAAUAUUUUGAAGCAGUUAUAACUAGCAUUUUCAAACAGUUUGCUUUUAAUAUACUGCAAAUUAUACUUUAUUUGCUCUUGACAACAUUGUAGAAAACAAAGACUAGGUUUUUAAAACUGUCUAACCAAUAUGAUGAAUGUCAGUCACUUAAAAAAAAAAACCACUGUAGCAUAAACACAUACUGUAUACAGCUUUUAUUCAGAAUUAGAAUAAUUGAAUCAAUGACAGUGAUUUGCCAGGAUGUCAAAUCUCUCCAUCAUAUCCUGUCACUACCAGUUUAUUUUUUGUGAUCAAAAUCAAAAAGACAACUAUUUUGUCACCCGCUAUUUCAUUAGUACUAAAAAAUUGGGUUUAUUCUUCUAUUUUUUUUAGAAUGUCUGGUUUAUUUUUUUAUCUCUUUUAAUUCUAAAGACACAAAUUCUUCCCCAUUUUCUUUUCAAAAUAAAGUUUCAGAAUUGAUCUGUCAGUUAAAAUUAAAGGGCUUUUAUAUUAAGCAAGGGUGCUUUUAAGAUUUAAAGCAACUUCAAAAAAUCAAUUUAGUCCAUAGAUAAUAAAUAAUGUUAUGCAGAUAUUCCACAAAAGCUUUGCUGUGUCCUUUGAAUGCAUCAUGAACAAAGUGAAUAAAUUCAAAUGAAUAUUUUAGUCAGUUAUUAUUUUAAUAAC
RNAcentral lists this long non-coding RNA (1321 nucleotides) under Marmota monax (woodchuck). Lineage: Eukaryota; Metazoa; Chordata; Mammalia; Rodentia; Sciuridae. The record is from RNAcentral.